UGCCCCGCCCCGUCCGACAGGUGCUGCCCUCCGAGUCGCGGAUUCUGACGCGGAGCCUAACCGCUGCCCUCCUGAUCUGGCCCAUGCGUCUGGGUAGCCGGAGUUUAUCCUGGAGGAGCACGGGCUGCGCAGGUACAAAACUCAAAACAUGAACAACGAUAUAUAUUACCAAUGUUCAAAGCUGAUUUGGUUAGAACUGGAAUACAGUUGCCUACAACAUAUUCCAGAGGAAUUAGAAAAGUCAAAGUAAUGGAUAACAGAAAAGAUCCUCCAUUCUUCAAUGAAGAUAACAUGGGACCAUUUUACUACAGACUUCCUUUCUAUGAUACCAUGGAGCUCUUCGUUGAAACACUGACUGGAACAUGUUUUGAGCUGAGAGUUUCACGCUUUGAAGCUGUUAUUUCUGUGAAAGCAAAAAUUCGAAGAUUGGAAGGUAUUCCCAUCUGUCAGCAGCACUUAAUUUGGAAUAACAUGGAACUUGAAGAUGAUUAUUGCUUGAAUGAUUACAACAUUUCAGAAGGUUGUACCUUGAAGCUGGUUUUGGCUAUGCGUGGUGGACCUAUAAAUACUAGAAGAGUUCCUAUGGAAGAUCCACUUAGGGAGAUGGCUGAGUACAUGGAUUCCAGUCGAGAUGAGGUCUGGGAGAAGACCUCCUGCAAGAAACAAGUUACAUUUCUGGUAUACCGAGAAGGAGAUCAGUUGAAUUUCUUUCGUGUAGUAGACAGGGGAGAUGGCACUUUAACACCAUUAUCUGAAUCUUUAAGUGGUGGUUCUGUGUAUAAUUUGCAUACUGAUGAAGAUGAGGAAAUUGAGCCUUCUCCUUCUGGGCAACAGAUAAUUGAAAAUUCAAUAACUAUGAAUAAGAUGAAACUGCUGAAGGCUAAGAUGGAGAACAUGAAUCUCAGCAAAAAGCCUAAGAAACCUGUCAAGGUAAAACCUCGUCCACCUGUGGUUCCUCGACCUUCCAGUAGUUCCACGGCAGCUGCUCGCCACAGAUUGUUAAGGGUUCUCCCCCACAUUGGGCAGUCUUGUUUACCUUCUUCUGGGAACACAUAUCUGCCUGACUCAGCCAGCAAUGCCAUUUCAAGUUUGCCAGCUCUGCCCCCUGCUGAUAUAUCCAUUUCAUCUAUCGCUAGUGAUUUUAUUAAGGAAGACAAUAACUGGGAGAGUAACACACAGUCUCAUUCCAAUAGUGGCUUCAAACUACCACCUCAGAUACCCCCUAUGGAGUUUGAAAAUGACAAAGAGCUUGCUGAUUCUGUUCUCCAUCUUGGAUCAUCCCUACCUAGGCAGACAAAAAACUUUUCAGGAAAUUUGCCAUCUAAUAAUGAGGAUGACACUGUUUUAUUUCCAACUUCAGAAGAGUGUGUAACUGAAGAAUCGCUUCUACCUGAAGUGGGUUCGUUUGCUUCCUUUACCGAAGGAAAUGCUGAUGAAAAGAGCAGUGGCUUAGAAGGCACACAGAAGGUAAAUCCAGAAUUCUCACUCACUAAUGGUGAUAAAGGGUUGAAAGCUACAGAGCAGCAUCUUAAACAUGUUGCAAGAGUGUUGAGUGGUGAAUCAGUAGAAACUGCAGUUCUCGACCACCGUGAAUUAAGUCCUCACAAGAAUAGACUCUUAUCACCUCUUCACUGUUCUGCACCAAUGUCACUACAUAACUCUCUGGUGAAACCACAGAGACAGUCCAAAUGUUUUGAGUCUGGGAACCUCCAGUCUUCUGCUUCACAAAAUGUGCUUCGGUCGCUGGACAUUCGAAAUAUAACUGAUUCUUCUUUCUCUAGGACUACUUGCUUUCGAGCUGUUAAAGUCGAUUCACCUGGGAAAAGAUCUGAUAUUAUUUCUAAAGUUGAGGCUCGGGAUAUCACAGAAAUGGCUAACAAGGCAUCCAAAGAGCCUGCUGGUUGUGUAAAUAAUAUAGGUUUUCUUGCUUCGCUGGCCCAGAGCGCAAGCAGAGACAGCUUGCAGAGCACACAUGGGGCAGGCAGGCUUCGAACCUCUGGAAUUGGGCUGUUUACAAACCUCCAGCAUUUUCAGGAAGAAAGCCUUAGGAAAAGUUCUCCCCAGUUAGAACCUACAGAAUUUUUUUUAUCUGCCCGUGGUAUUGGAAUGAAUGGAAAUAAUACAGCAGCAGGGAAAAGAGUAGGAGAAUGUACUCAUCACCUCCCACCCGUGAAAGCCCCUAUUCAAACAAAGAAGAAAACAACAAAGCAUUGUUUUCUUUGUGGAAAGAAAACUGGACUGGCUACUAGCUACGAAUGCAGAUGUGGAAACAACUUCUGUGCAUCUCAUCGCUAUGCAGAAACUCACAGCUGCACCUAUGAUUACAAGAGUGCAGGGAGGAGAUACUUACAGGAGGCAAAUCCUGUGGUUAAUGCACCAAAACUUCCAAAAAUCUAACUCUUGCUCUGCACCUAAAUGUUCUGCCCGAGGAAUCGUAUUACAAUGACAGAAGAAAUGUUGUUUAGACUGCAUUAUUUUUGUUCGACUCCAAAAGAUUUGCCAAAGCAUAUAAUGCAUACUGUUGGAGAAUGAGAAUGCUACUGUAUUUGACAUCUUCAUUCUUUGGUGAAUCAAAAGUUUUAAAAGUAGUUUUAAAAACUUUAAACUAUAAUGGUUUAGCUUUGUUAUUGCAUGUCAUGUGUUAAGUAUUUUAUAUUUGAUAGUGCAAUUUUACUAGACAAGUCUUCAAAAGAUGCACUUUAGGAAGUUAACAUUGACUAUGUAACCAGCUUCCAUGUUGUACAGAAAUAAGCCUUCAUGUAAUGGCUCUACUCAAAUCUACAAUUUUUUUUGUGGGGGUGGGGUGGGUGGGGAUUUAAAACAAAUAUCCCAUACGUGAAAGUUUAUUGAGUUUACUGGCAAGUUCCUUUUUAUUUCAAGCUUUUUGUAAAAAAAGAACAUUUGGUUUUCCAGUGUGGUUUUAACACAUAUAUUUCUUCCAUAUUCAGACUGACAUUCAGAUAUGUAUCCAUUCUAUAAAACACAUCAUGUUAAUCAUAGUAUAUAUUUCUUAAAAUACUACUUUUUGAAUGGUAGUUUUAAAAUAGAUGAUGUCCCACUUGUUGCCAUUAAAUACAGAACCCAACUUUUCACUUUUUGAAAAAUGGCUAUACAGAAAACAAAAUCUCACAGCUUGGUUUGUUUUUCUUAUGUUGAGUGCUAUUACCAGGAGAAAUUCAAAUAAAUAUUCAAUUUCAUUAUGAUUUUGAUUAUUCACAAUAAUUUUUCUUUUAUAAAUACUUUAAAAUAAAACAGUUUAAUUAAAUAAAUCAGUAAUUUAUUCUACUUGGAAAAAAUGACUGUCAGUAUAAAAGAACGCUUUUAAGGUGUAAGGGCCCUGCUCCCCAGAUGUAGCUAAUAUACCAGCUUUUGGGAGGCCACUUGCUUUAUGGAAGCUUAGUUGAAUCUGAUGCUGAACCCCGGUAAAUAGCUGGCAGGCAACCCAAGUAGACUCUGCAACUCUAGUCCAACCCAAGUGGGAUCUGCACUGGUACCAGAAGGCUAAUUUAGGUGCUCCACAGGGCCACAGGGCCUCUUUCUCCAUGCAAGGCUGAAUGAAAUGAAGAGUUCCGUUACCCUUCCUCUGCUUCCUAGAAGAGAUUAAAUGUUGAGUGGAGAAAAAUUACUUCAGAGCAAGAAGGAAAUACAUUUACAAAAGGGAAAGGCCUCUCACUGCUGUGGUCUCUCCCGUUGUGGAGCACAGGCUCCAGACGCACAGCCUCAGCAGCCAUGGCUCACAGGCCCAGCCACUCCGCGGCAUGUGGGAUCCUCUCAGACCGGGGCACGAACCCGCGUCCCCUGCAUCGGCAGGCGGACUCUCAACCACUGCGCCACCAGGGAAGCCCAACAUUUUUUAAUAAUUAUAUAUUGUAUCAGAAAAAAAAUGUAACCCUAAGUAACUUAAGUUGAAAAUAAAAUAAAUUGAUAUAGGUUAAAAAAAACUGAUUGAAAAUUGCCAAGCAAGGGUACAUACAACAAAUAUCAUAAAAGUUGAUGUGAAUGACUGAAAUUUAGGAAAGAAGGUAUGAUGUUCUCAUUUUUCUUUGAAAAUUAUGUUAAACUUUCAAAGUGAUUAAUGAAAGUAAAUUACAUAGUUUUAGAAAAACUAUAUAAAGAUGAAAAAUGAAAGUAAAAAGGUCACCGUAUACCUCCCCCAAUCUCUUUUAAUAAUUUCUAUUUUAGUUUUUCUGGUAGUUACCGUCAUAACAGUAGCCAAUAUAAACAUUAUUUUUUGAUGCCCCAUUAUUACAGGUAAGGAAUUUAGCAUGAUAACUCAUUACUUCAAGACUGUACUUCCCAAUUUUUUAGUGCGUUAGUCUGCUCAUGCUGCCAUAACACAAAAUACCACAGACUGGGUGGCUUAAACAGAGAAAACUGUGAGAACAGAAAUUAAACAACAGAAAUUAAUUUUCUCACAGUUCUGGAGGCUUGAAGUCCCAGUUCAAGGGAUCCAGCAGGGUGGAUUUCUGGUAAGAUCUUUCUUCCUGGCUUUCAGAGAGCUGCUCUCUUUCUGUCCUCACAUGGUCUUUCCUCAGUGUGCACACACGGAACUUUGAUGUCUCUUCUUACAAAGACAUUAAUACCAUGGGAUCAGGGCCUCUCUCUAAUGACCUCAUUUAACCUUAAUUACUUCCUUACUCCAAAUAUAGCCAUGCUGGGGGUUAGGGCUUCAACAUAUGAAUUUGGAGGAGACACAUAUUUAGUCCAAAAUGAUGUUAUUUUUAGUUACAGUAGUUAUUUCAAAUUCACUCACUCCUCUGCAGUUACCCUAGUCCAUGUUACCAUAGCUUUCACUUGAGCUAUUGCAAUAGCUUCCUAACUGGGCUGCUUAAAUUAGUUCUAUGUCCUUCAUAACCCACUGUCUACUCUUAACUGUAGUGUGCUUGCAGAACCAAAAAAUUGAGCACAUCGAUGCUCGCAGUGUAUCAGUGACUUCUUGUGUUCUUAGAAUAAAGACCCAAAUCCUUAACCCUUCUUACUAAUAAGGCUCCUGUGGUCUGGUCCCCAUCUACUUCUCCAGCCUCAUAUUGUACUGUUAAUCCAUGCUUUCUGGGAUUUGCCCACACUUUUACUUUUCCCAGCCUGUUUUCCCUUGUUAACACCCACUCUUUAUUCAGAUGCCAACUCCAUCUUUACUUCCUGAAGGAAGCAAACCUCUGUGUAACUAUUGCCCACGUUAAGAAAUAAGAAACACUGUCAGUACCCCAGAACUCAUUCCUGCCUCCUACCCUUUCCCAAUCACUACCACCAUCCUUCCAUACUGUGAUAGUCAUUUUCUUGCAUUUUUUAAUGGUUUUACCAUCUAAGCAUGUAUCCCUGCAGUUUUGCUUUACAAAAACAAAAACCUUUACCUAGUGAAAUUGUAUGGCAUGUAUUCUUUUUCUGGCUUUUUUCAUUCAGUGUUGAUUAUGAGACUUAUUUGUGUCGCAUGUAGUUGUACCUAAUUUUUAUCGAAGUGUUCUUCUAUAUGACUGUGCCACAAUUUAUGUUUCCAUUUACUGCUGAUGCACAUUUGGGUUGUUUCUAGCCUUGAGUAUUAUAUACAAUGCUGCUAUGAACAUUUGUGCACAUGUCUCCUGGAGCACAUGUAUACACAUUUCUUUUGAGUCUACACCUAAGAGCAUAAUUGCUGGAUCAUGGAUGAUUAUUGUGUU
Molecule: RNA transcript, 5654 nt
Organism: Orcinus orca (killer whale)
Lineage: Eukaryota; Metazoa; Chordata; Mammalia; Artiodactyla; Delphinidae
Gene: ZFAND4
Gene name: zinc finger AN1-type containing 4
Exons: 11
Source: RefSeq, a predicted model, not a curated record